UACAGAGGGUGCAAGCGUUGUUCGGAAUUAUUGGGCGUAAAGCGCGUGUAGGCGGCUUUGCAAGUCGGGUGUGUAAUCCCUCAGCUUAACUGAGGAAGUGCGCCCGAAACUGCAGAGCUUGAGUACCGGAGAGGGUGGCGGAAUACCCCAAGUAGAGGUGAAAUUCGUAGAUAUGGGGUGGAACACCGGUGGCGAAGGCGGCCACCUGGACGGAUACUGACGCUGAGACGCGAAAGCGUGGGGAGCAAACAGG
Molecule: ribosomal RNA, 253 nt
Filed under: uncultured bacterium
Lineage: Bacteria
Description: partial 16S ribosomal RNA
Rfam family: Bacterial small subunit ribosomal RNA
Source: RNAcentral